RNAcentral lists this ribosomal RNA (446 nucleotides) under uncultured bacterium. RNAcentral's name for it is "bacterial SSU rRNA". It matches the Rfam family "Bacterial small subunit ribosomal RNA", at positions 330 to 793 of the family's 1533-position model. The record is from RNAcentral.
UCCAGACUCCUACGGGAGGCAGCAGUGGGGAAUAUUGCACAAUGGGCGAAAGCCUGAUGCAGCAACGCCGCGUGAAGGAAGAAGGUCUUCGGAUCGUAAACUUCUGUCCUUGGGGAAGAUAAUGACGGUACCCUUGGAGGAAGCCCCGGCUAACUACGUGCCAGCAGCCGCGGUAAUACGUAGGGGGCAAGCGUUAUCCGGAUUUACUGGGUGUAAAGGGAGCGUAGACGGUGCAGCAAGUCUGGAGUGAAAGGCAGGGGCCCAACCCCUGGACUGCUCUGGAAACUGUUGUACUUGAGUGCAGGAGAGGUAAGUGGAAUUCCUAGUGUAGCGGUGAAAUGCGUAGAUAUUAGGAGGAACACCAGUGGCGAAGGCGGCUUACUGGACUGUAACUGACGUUGAGGCUCGAAAGCGUGGGGAGCAAACAGGAUUAGAUACCCGGGUAC